This 697-nucleotide ribosomal RNA is filed under the name uncultured bacterium. RNAcentral's name for it is "bacterial SSU rRNA". It matches the Rfam family "Bacterial small subunit ribosomal RNA", at positions 8 to 700 of the family's 1533-position model. The record is from RNAcentral.
AGAGUUUGAUCCUGGCUCAGAUUGAACGCUGGCGGCAUGCCUUACACAUGCAAGUCGAACGGUAACGCGGGGCAACCUGGCGACGAGUGGCGAACGGGUGAGUAAUAUAUCGGAACGUGCCCAGNUUGUGGGGGAUAACUGCUCGAAAGAGCAGCUAAUACCGCAUACGACCUGAGGGUGAAAGCGGGGGAUCGCAAGACCUCGCGCAAUUGGAGCGGCCGAUAUCAGAUUAGGUAGUUGGUGGGGUAAAGGCCUACCAAGCCUACGAUCUGUAGCUGGUCUGAGAGGACGACCAGCCACACUGGGACUGAGGCACGGCCCAGACUCCUACGGGAGGCAGCAGUGGGGAAUUUUGGACAAUGGGGGCAACCCUGAUCCAGCCAUGCCGCGUGCGGGAAGAAGGCCUUCGGGUUGUAAACCGCUUUUGUCAGGGGAAGAAAAGACUCCUACUAAUACUGGGGGUUCAUGACGGUACCUGAAGAAUAAGCACCGGCUAACUACGUGCCAGCAGCCGCGGUAAUACGUAGGGUGCAAGCGUUAAUCGGAAUUACUGGGCGUAAAGCGUGCGCAGGCGGUUAUGCAAGACAGAUGUGAAAUCCCCGGGCUCAACCUGGGAACUGCAUUUGUGACUACAUGGCUAGAGUACGGUAGAGGGGGAUGGAAUUCUGCGUGUAGCAGUGAAAUGCGUAGAUAUGCG